Salvia splendens (bonfire salvia) is the source of this 454-nucleotide long non-coding RNA. RefSeq lists it as uncharacterized. The record is from RefSeq and is a predicted model, not a curated record. The transcript has 2 exons. Lineage: Eukaryota; Viridiplantae; Streptophyta; Magnoliopsida; Lamiales; Lamiaceae.
UAAGUUGUGGUUUUUAAGAGGAAAAAGUAGCAUGACGAUGAAUUGAUUUGUUGGGAAAGCAACAAUGAUAUCGUGGUGUCUCUCUCCAGGAAGCUAAUGCAGAACAGUUUUAUUGAUUCAAAUGCCUAAAACAUGCUUCUGAUCAGCAAAAAUGCAAUUGUGGAGGAAUUUAUUUAUGAAAACUAAGAGAACAAAUUGCACAGUAGGUGGCGAAAGAAAUUACCCAUUCUCCUUUAUCCAUAACUUGAACGGUAAUUAUGUCGUCUGCAUCUCAUUUUUUAGUGUUCUUUUCUUAUAAUUGCUAGUAUGUUUAUUCAAUUGUUAACUUUUAUGCAAAUAUAUGGAAUGUAGGUUUACUUUGUCAUCUAUAUAUUAAAAUUUAAUCUUGUAAAAUGUUGUGAAAAAGAAGCAUGAAUUUCUAGACAUGAAGAAUCUGUUUGUAUAUUUUGUGAUA